This is a small nucleolar RNA of Cricetulus griseus (Chinese hamster), 122 nucleotides long. Its record names the gene SNORA70. It matches the Rfam family "Small nucleolar RNA SNORA70". Rfam says of the family: snoRNA U70 seems to be exclusive to mammals and is a member of the H/ACA class of snoRNA which contain H (ANANNA) and ACA box motifs. H/ACA box snoRNAs are involved in the conversion of uridines to pseudouridines (5-ribosyluracil) a constituent of structural RNAs (transfer, ribosomal, small nuclear, and small nucleolar). The record is from Ensembl. Lineage: Eukaryota; Metazoa; Chordata; Mammalia; Rodentia; Cricetidae.
CUGCAUCAAGUUAAGCUAAGUUUCUUUUUUCAUGGGGCCUGGUGUACAGUGGCUGCAAACAGCAUCUUACUCAGGAGGCUGGCUGCUUCUAUGGGUUUCUCUGAACGACCUUAGAAACAGAA